GGGUACAGCUCAGUGGUAGAGUGUGUGCUCAGCAUGCACGAAGUCCUGGGUUCAAUCCUCAGUACCUCCA
Molecule: transfer RNA, 70 nt
Filed under: Camelus bactrianus (Bactrian camel)
Lineage: Eukaryota; Metazoa; Chordata; Mammalia; Artiodactyla; Camelidae
Also listed under: 2 other names
Rfam family: tRNA
About the family: Transfer RNA (tRNA) molecules are approximately 80 nucleotides in length. Their secondary structure includes four short double-helical elements and three loops (D, anti-codon, and T loops).
Source: Rfam by way of RNAcentral